This 406-nucleotide ribosomal RNA is filed under the name uncultured bacterium. Its description in RNAcentral is "partial 16S ribosomal RNA". It matches the Rfam family "Bacterial small subunit ribosomal RNA", at positions 30 to 526 of the family's 1533-position model. The record is from RNAcentral.
AUUGAACGCUGGCGGCAGGCCUAACACAUGCAAGUCGCACGAGUGGCGGACGGGUGAGUAAUGUCUUGGAAACUGCCUGAUGGAGGGGGCUAACUCCUGGCAACGUUAGCUAAUACCGCAUACCAUCAGAUGUGCCCAGAUGGGUUUAGCUGGUUGGUGGGGUAAUGGCCAACCAAGGCGACGAUGCCUAGCUGGUCUGCGAGGAUGACCAGGCAGACUGGAACUGAGACACGGACCAGACGCCUACGUGAGGCAGCAGUGGGGAAUAUUGAACAAUGGGCGCAAGCCGGAUGCAGCCAUGCCGCGUGUAUGAAGAAGGCCUUCGGGUUGUAAAGUACUGUAAGCGGGGAGGCGUUACCCGCAGAAGAAGCACCGGCUAACUCCGUGCCAGCCGCCGCGGUAAUAC